This 357-nucleotide ribosomal RNA is filed under the name Ceratobasidiaceae sp. CBS 510.93. Its description in RNAcentral is "eukaryotic LSU rRNA". The stretch from base 296 to 357 matches the Rfam family "Eukaryotic large subunit ribosomal RNA", at positions 1 to 62 of the family's 3401-position model. Lineage: Eukaryota; Fungi; Basidiomycota; Agaricomycetes; Cantharellales; Ceratobasidiaceae. The record is from RNAcentral.
GUGAAUCAUCGAAUCUUUGAACGCACCUUGCGCUCCUUGGUAUUCCUCGGAGCAUGCCUGUUUGAGUAUCAUGAAAUCCUCAAAAUAAAUCUUUUGUUCAUUCGAUUGAUUUUAUUUUGGACUUGGAGGUCUGCAGAUUCACGUCUGCUCCUCUUAAAUUCAUUAGCUGGAUCUGUAUGAACUCGGUUCCACUCGGCGUGAUAAGUAUCACUCGCUGAGGACACUGUAAAAGGUGGCCGGGAUUAUUAUGAACCGCUUCUAAUAGUCCAUUGACUUGGACAAAUUACUUAUGAUCUGAUCUCAAAUCAGGUAGGACUACCCGCUGAACUUAAGCAUAUCAAUAAGCGGAGGAAAAGA